RNAcentral lists this ribosomal RNA (443 nucleotides) under uncultured bacterium. RNAcentral's name for it is "partial 16S ribosomal RNA". It matches the Rfam family "Bacterial small subunit ribosomal RNA", at positions 338 to 795 of the family's 1533-position model. The record is from RNAcentral.
CCUACGGGAGGCAGCAGUGGGGAAUAUUGGGCAAUGGGCGCAAGCCUGACCCAGCAACGCCGCGUGAAGGAAGAAGGCUUUCGGGUUGUAAACUUCUUUUCUCAGGGACGAAGCAAGUGACGGUACCUGAGGAAUAAGCAACGGCUAACUACGUGCCAGCAGCCGCGGUAAUACGUAGGUGGCAAGCGUUAUCCGGAUUUACUGGGUGUAAAGGGCGUGUAGGCGGGACUGCAAGUCAGAUGUGAAAACCACGGGCUCAACCUGUGGCCUGCAUUUGAAACUGUAGUUCUUGAGUGCUGGAGAGGCAGCCGGAAUUCCUAGUGUAGCGGGGAAAUGCGUAGAUAUUAGGAGGAACACCAGUGGCGAAGGCGGUCUGCUGGACAGCAACUGACGCUGAGGCGCGAAAGCGUGGGGAGCAAACAGGAUUAGAUACCCCGGUAGUC